This 486-nucleotide ribosomal RNA is filed under the name uncultured Pseudomonadota bacterium. Its description in RNAcentral is "bacterial SSU rRNA". It matches the Rfam family "Bacterial small subunit ribosomal RNA", at positions 355 to 857 of the family's 1533-position model. Lineage: Bacteria; Pseudomonadati; Pseudomonadota. The record is from RNAcentral.
UGGGGAAUAUUGGACAAUGGGCGAAAGCCUGAUCCAGCAAUGCCGCGUGAGUGAUGAAGGCCUUAGGGUUGUAAAGCUCUUUUACCCGGGAUGAUAAUGACAGUACCGGGAGAAUAAGCUCCGGCUAACUCCGUGCCAGCAGCCGCGGUAAUACGGAGGGAGCUAGCGUUAUUCGGAAUUACUGGGCGUAAAGCGCACGUAGGCGGCUUUGUAAGUUAGAGGUGAAAGCCUGGAGCUCAACUCCAGAAUUGCCUUUAAGACUGCAUCGCUUGAAUCCAGGAGAGGUGAGUGGAAUUCCGAGUGUAGAGGUGAAAUUCGUAGAUAUUCGGAAGAACACCAGUGGCGAAGGCGGCUCACUGGACUGGUAUUGACGCUGAGGUGCGAAAGCGUGGGGAGGCAAACAGGAUUAGAUACCCUGGUAGUCCACGCCGUAACGAUGAUAACUAGCUGUCGGGGCUCUUAGAGCUUCGGUGGCGGCAGCUAACG